GACGAACGCUGGCGGCGUGCUUAACACAUGCAAGUCGAACGGAAAGGCCCUGCUUGCAGGGUACUCGAGUGGCGAACGGGUGAGUAACACGUGGGUGAUCUGCCCUGCACUUCGGGAUAAGCCUGGGAAACUGGGUCUAAUACCGGAUAGAAGCCAUUUUUCGUGUGAUGGUUGGAAAGUUUUUUCGGUGUAGGAUGAGCUCGCGGCCUAUCAGCUUGUUGGUGGGGUAAGGGGCUACCAAGGCGGCGACGGGUAGCCGGCCUGGGGGGGUGGACGGCCACCAUGGGGCUGAGAAACGGCCCAGGAUCCUACGGGGGGCAACAGGGGGGAAAAUUGCACAAUGGGCGCGAGCCUGAUGCAGCGACGCCGCGUGGGGGAUGACGGGCUUCGGGUUGGAAACUCCUUUCGCUAGGGACGAAGCUUUUUGUGACGGUACCUAGAUAAGAAGCACCGGCUAACUACGUG
RNAcentral lists this ribosomal RNA (465 nucleotides) under uncultured bacterium. RNAcentral describes it as "partial 16S ribosomal RNA". It matches the Rfam family "Bacterial small subunit ribosomal RNA", at positions 28 to 507 of the family's 1533-position model. The record is from RNAcentral.